UUCCUGUACCACCUAUAAUCGUUUUAAUCGAUGGGGGGACGCAGUAGGAUAGGCGAAGCGUGCGAUUGGAUUGCACGUCUAAGCAGUAAGGCUGAGUAUUAGGCAAAUCCGGUACUCGUUAAGGCUGAGCUGUGAUGGGGAGAAGACAUUGUGUCUUCGAGUCGUUGAUUUCACACUGCCGAGAAAAGCCUCUAGAUAGAAAAUAGGUGCCCGUACCGCAAACCGACACAGGUAGUCAAGAUGAGAAUUCUAAGGUGAGCGAGCGAACUCUCGUUAAGGAACUCGGCAAAAUGACCCCGUAACUUCGGGAGAAGGGGUGCUCUUUAGGGUUAACGCCCAGAAGAGCCGCAGUGAAUAGGCCCAAGCGACUGUUUAUCAAAAACACAGGUCUCUGCUAAACCGUAAGGUGAUGUAUAGGGGCUGACGCCUGCCCGGUGCUGGAAGGUUAAGAGGAGUGGUUAGCUUCUGCGAAGCUACGAAUCGAAGCCCCAGUAAACGGCGGCCGUAACUAUAACGGUCCUAAGGUAGCGAAAUUCCUUGUCGGGUAAGUUCCGACCCGCACGAAAGGCGUAACGAUUUGGGCACUGUCUCAACGAGAGACUCGGUGAAAUCAUAGUACCUGUGAAGAUGCAGGUUACCCGCGACAGGACGGAAAGACCCCGUGGAGCUUUACUGUAGCCUGAUAUUGAAAUUCGGCACAGCUUGUACAGGAUAGGUAGGAGCCUUUGAAACGUGAGCGCUAGCUUACGUGGAGGCGCUGGUGGGAUACUACCCUAGCUGUGUUGGCUUUCUAACCCGCACCACUUAUCGUGGUGGGAGACAGUGUCAGGCGGGCAGUUUGACUGGGGCGGUCGCCUCCUAAAAGGUAACGGAGGCGCUCAAAGGUUCCCUCAGAAUGGUUGGAAAUCAUUCAUAGAGUGUAAAGGCAUAAGGGAGCUUGACUGCGAGACCUACAAGUCGAGCAGGGUCGAAAGACGGACUUAGUGAUCCGGUGGUUCCGCAUGGAAGGGCCAUCGCUCAACGGAUAAAAGCUACCCCGGGGAUAACAGGCUUAUCUCCCCCAAGAGUUCACAUCGACGGGGAGGUUUGGCACCUCGAUGUCGGCUCAUCGCAUCCUGGGGCUGUAGUCGGUCCCAAGGGUUGGGCUGUUCGCCCAUUAAAGCGGUACGCGAGCUGGGUUCAGAACGUCGUGAGACAGUUCGGUCCCUAUCCGUCGUGGGCGUAGGAAAUUUGAGAGGAGCUGUCCUUAGUACGAGAGGACCGGGAUGGACAUACCUCUGGUGUACCAGUUGUCGUGCCAACGGCAUAGCUGGGUAGC
RNAcentral lists this ribosomal RNA (1318 nucleotides) under Staphylococcus aureus. RNAcentral describes it as "partial 23S ribosomal RNA". It matches the Rfam family "Bacterial large subunit ribosomal RNA", at positions 1436 to 2749 of the family's 2925-position model. The record is from RNAcentral. Lineage: Bacteria; Bacillati; Bacillota; Bacilli; Caryophanales; Staphylococcaceae.